Molecule: ribosomal RNA, 983 nt
Filed under: uncultured bacterium
Lineage: Bacteria
Description: bacterial SSU rRNA
Rfam family: Bacterial small subunit ribosomal RNA
Source: RNAcentral
GAAAGUUCACACUGUGACGGUAGCUUACCAGAAAGGGACGGCUAACUGCGUGCCAGCAGCCGCGGUAAUACGUAGGUCCCGAGCGUUGUCCGGAUUUAUUGGGCGUAAAGCGAGCGCAGGCGGUUUGAUAAGUCUGAAGUUAAGGGCUGUGGCUCAACCAUAGUUCGCUUUGGAAACUGUCAAACUUGAGUGCAGAAGGGGAGAGUGGAAUUCCAUGUGUAGCGGUGAAAUGCGUAGAUAUAUGGAGGAACACCGGUGGCGAAAGCGGCUCUCUGGUCUGUAACUGACGCUGAGGCUCGAAAGCGUGGGGAGCGAACAGGAUUAGAUACCCUGGUAGUCCACGCCGUAAACGAUGAGUGCUAGGUGUUGGAUCCUUUCCGGGAUUCAGUGCCGCAGCUAACGCAUUAAGCACUCCGCCUGGGGAGUACGACCGCAAGGUUGAAACUCAAAGGAAUUGACGGGGGCCCGCACAAGCGGUGGAGCAUGUGGUUUAAUUCGAAGCAACGCGAAGAACCUUACCAGGUCUCGACAUCCCGAUGCUAUUUCUAGAGAUAGGAAGUUACUUCGGUACAUCGGUGACAGGUGGUGCAUGGUUGUCGUCAGCUCGUGUCGUGAGAUGUAGGGUUAAGUCCCGCAACGAGCGCAACCCCUAUUGUUAGUUGCCAUCAUUCAGUUGGGCACUCUAGCGAGACUGCCGGUAAUAAACCGGAGGAAGGUGGGGAUGACGUCAAAUCAUCAUGCCCCUUAUGACCUGGGCUACACACGUGCUACAAUGGUUGGUACAACGAGUUGCGAGUCGGUGACGGCGAGCUAAUCUCUUAAAGCCAAUCUCAGUUCGGAUUGUAGGCUGCAACUCGCCUACAUGAAGUCGGAAUCGCUAGUAAUCGCGGAUCAGCACGCCGCGGUGAAUACGUUCCCGGGCCUUGUACACACCGCCCGUCACACCACGAGAGUUUGUAACACCCGAAGUCGGUGAGGUAACC